CUUCCAGGGAAUCCGCUCACAGUUCCUUGGCACAACAAUCUGUGGCACCCAGACUUACUGGGAACUGCUGGAGCACAAUGUGCGUGUGCUUCCCUAGUCAAGGGAGAGAACUUUCUGCCUUCAAAUGUUAGCAGAAACCUGGAUUCCUCUAGUGGGGAGAAUAGGAGGCUAAAGCAAUAAACAAACGGAUAGACGGAGGAACGCUGUGCAUUGUGGGUGUCUGAUGCAUCAUCCUCUGAGGUGGGUGAGAGAUGCUUUCUCCUUUCUACGACCCAGGAUCAGAGGCAAGGAAAGCACCAAGAGCACACACUAAGAUGUUUUCAAAGAAACAACUUAGAAGAGGCAAAGUUUCUUCUCUCACAGAGCCAGAGACACCAUCGUGUCUGGGAAGAAGUGAUGGAGAGCUCACAUCAUGAAGAACAGGAAGGAUGAUGGAGAUCUCACAGCAUGAAGAACAGGAAGGGUGAUGGAGAGCUCACAUCAUGAACAGGAAACAGAGUAGAGCCGAAACAGGAAUGGCCAGGACAAGAUGAAGAUCCCAGUAGUCUGUUUGCUCCAUUCCAGCCAUAGCUCCCUCUGCUCACCUCCUCCCAAUAGUCUGUUGAAAUUAUGAACUUAUUAAUGGGUAAACCAUUAAUGCCAGAGUACCCUCAGGAUCCAACUGUCCCCAGUGGAUGUGUCCAGAGGUCAUCUAAUGGCUGCAAGAUGGCUGCUGCACCCUAGAUUUCACAGUGGCAUUCCUCACAGCAGGAAGGAAGAAGGAUCAAGAACAAAAGUUCCUCUCCACUCUCCUGAAGAAACCCAGUGGAGCAAUGUGGAGGACAAUGAUAGCUGGAAAGCCCACAGAAUCAGCAUCUGGAAAUGGAAGUUGACAGCUGCACUUGUAAAAACGAAAGGAAGAUAUCCUCGGGCUUAAGAUACAGGGCAUCCUAAUAUCAGGGUUCUGUUCAUCUCCAUCCAACCUCAAACUGUUUGCCCAG
This 980-nucleotide long non-coding RNA is filed under the name Cricetulus griseus (Chinese hamster). Its description in RNAcentral is "lncRNA (ENSCGRG00015035893.1)". The record is from RNAcentral. Lineage: Eukaryota; Metazoa; Chordata; Mammalia; Rodentia; Cricetidae.